UACGGAGGGUGCAAGCGUUAUCCGGAUUCACUGGGUUUAAAGGGUGCGUAGGUGGGUUGGUAAGUCAGUGGUGAAAUCUCCGGGCUUAACUCGGAAACUGCCGUUGAUACUAUCAAUCUUGAAUGUUGUGGAGGUAAGCGGAAUAUGUCAUGUAGCGGUGAAAUGCUUAGAUAUGACAUAGAACACCGAUAGCGGAGGCAGCUUGCUACACAAUGAUUGACACUGAGGCACGAAAGCGUGGGGAU
RNAcentral lists this ribosomal RNA (245 nucleotides) under uncultured bacterium. RNAcentral describes it as "partial 16S ribosomal RNA". It matches the Rfam family "Bacterial small subunit ribosomal RNA", at positions 524 to 768 of the family's 1533-position model. The record is from RNAcentral.